CCUACGGGCGUCAGCAGUGAGGAAUAUUGGUCAAUGGACGAGAGUCUGAACCAGCCAAGUAGCGUGAAGGAUGACUGCCCUAUGGGUUGUAAACUUCUUUUGUCAAGGGACAAAAUCAGGCUCGAGAGCCUGACCGAGGGUACUUGAAGAAAAAGCAUCGGCUAACUCCGUGUCAGCAGCCGCGGUAAUACGGAGGAUGCGAGCGUUAUCCGGAUUUAUUGGGUUUAAAGGGUGCGUAGGCGGGCUGUUAAGUCAGCGGUAAAAGCCCGGGGCUCAACCCCGGCGAGCCGUUGAAACUGGCUGUCUUGAGAUGUCGAGAGGUAUGCGGAAUGCGCAGUGUAGCGGUGAAAUGCUUAGAUAUUGCGCAGAACUCCGAUUGCGAAGGCAGCAUACCGGCGGCGAUCUGACGCUGAGGCACGAAAGCGUGGGUAUCGAACAGGAUUAGAUACCCUUGUAGUC
RNAcentral lists this ribosomal RNA (459 nucleotides) under uncultured bacterium. RNAcentral's name for it is "partial 16S ribosomal RNA". It matches the Rfam family "Bacterial small subunit ribosomal RNA", at positions 338 to 795 of the family's 1533-position model. The record is from RNAcentral.